UACGGAGGAUGCGAGCGUUAUCCGGAUUUAUUGGGUUUAAAGGGUGCGCAGGCGGCGUGUCAAGUCAGCGGUAAAAUGUCGGGGCUCAACCCCGGCCGGCCGUUGAAACUGGCGUGCUCGAGUUGGAGAGAAGUAUGCGUAAUUCGUGGUGUAGCGGUGAAAUGCAUAGAUAUCACGAAGAACCCCGAUUGCGAAGGCAGCAUACCGGCUCCACACUGACGCUGAGGCACGAAAGCGUGGGUAUCGAACAGG
RNAcentral lists this ribosomal RNA (252 nucleotides) under uncultured bacterium. RNAcentral's name for it is "partial 16S ribosomal RNA". It matches the Rfam family "Bacterial small subunit ribosomal RNA", at positions 524 to 776 of the family's 1533-position model. The record is from RNAcentral.